GACGAACGCUGGCGGCGUGCUUAACACAUGCAAGUCGAACGGAAAGGCCUCUUUCGGGGGGUACUCGCGUGGCGAACGGGUGAGUAACACGUGAGUAACCUGCCCUUGACUUUGGGAUAACUUCAGGAAACUGGGGCUAAUACCGGAUAGGAGCUCCUGCUGCACGGUGGGGGUUGGAAAGUUUCGGCGGUUGGGGAUGGACUCGCGGCUUAUCAGCUUGUUGGUGGGGUAGUGGCUUACCAAGGCUUUGACGGGUAGCCGGCCUGAGAGGGUGGCCGGCCACAUUGGGACUGGGGUACGGCCCAGACUCCUACGGGGAGCAGCAGUGGGGAAUAUUGCACAAUGGGUGGAAGCCUGAUGCAGCAACGCCGGGUGCGGGAUGACGGCCUUCGGGUUGGAAACCGCUUUCGCUCAUGGCGAAGCUUUGUGUGACGGUAGUGGGUAAAGAAGCACCGGCUAACUACGUG
RNAcentral lists this ribosomal RNA (467 nucleotides) under uncultured bacterium. RNAcentral describes it as "partial 16S ribosomal RNA". It matches the Rfam family "Bacterial small subunit ribosomal RNA", at positions 28 to 507 of the family's 1533-position model. The record is from RNAcentral.